CCUGGCUCCCUUGAACGCUAGCGACAGGCUUAACACAUGCAAGUCGAGGGUCAGCAUGGUUUGUAGUAAUACAGAUUGAUGGCGACCGGCGCACGGGUGAGUAACGCGUAUGCAACUUACCUAUCAGAGGGGGAUAGCCCGGCGAAAGUCGGAUUAAUACCCCAUAAAACAGGGGUCCCGCAUGGGAAUAUUUGUUAAAGAUUCAUCGCUGAUAGAUAGGCAUGCGUUCCAUUAGGCAGUUGGCGGGGUAACGGCCCACCAAACCGACGAUGGAUAGGGGUUCUGAGAGGAAGGUCCCCCACAUUGGUACUGAGACACGGACCAAACUCCUACGGGAGGCAGCAGUGAGGAAUAUUGGUCAAUGGCCGAGAGGCUGAACCAGCCAAGUCGCGUGAAGGAAGAAGGAUCUAUGGUUUGUAAACUUCUUUUAUAGGGGAAUAAAGUGGAGGACGUGUCUUUUUUGUAUGUACCCUAUGAAUAAGCAUCGGCUAACUCCGUGCCAGCAGCCGCGGUAAUACGGAGGAUGCGAGCGUUAUCCGGAUUUAUUGGGUUUAAAGGGUGCGUAGGUGGUGAUUUAAGUCAGCGGUGAAAGUUUGUGGCUCAACCAUAAAAUUGCCGUUGAAACUGGGUUACUUGAGUGUGUUUGAGGUAGGCGGAAUGCGUGGUGUAGCGGUGAAAUGCAUAGAUAUCACGCAGAACUCCGAUUGCGAAGGCAGCUUACUAAACCAUAACUGACACUGAAGCACGAAAGCGUGGGGAUCAAACAGGAUUAGAUACCCUGGUAGUCCACGCAGUAAACGAUGAUUACUAGGAGUUUGCGAUACAAUGUAAGCUCUACAGCGAAAGCGUUAAGUAAUCCACCUGGGGAGUACGCCGGCAACGGUGAAACUCAAAGGAAUUGACGGGGGCCCGCACAAGCGGAGGAACAUGUGGUUUAAUUCGAUGAUACGCGAGGAACCUUACCCGGGUUUGAACGUAGUCUGACCGGAGUGGAAACACUCUUUCUAGCAAUAGCAGAUUACGAGGUGCUGCAUGGUUGUCGUCAGCUCGUGCCGUGAGGUGUCGGCUUAAGUGCCAUAACGAGCGCAACCCUUAUCACUAGUUACUAACAGGUGAAGCUGAGGACUCUGGUGAGACUGCCAGCGUAAGCUGUGAGGAAGGUGGGGAUGACGUCAAAUCAGCACGGCCCUUACAUCCGGGGCGACACACGUGUUACAAUGGCAUGGACAAAGGGCAGCUACCUGGUGACAGGAUGCUAAUCUCCAAACCAUGUCUCAGUUCGGAUCGGAGUCUGCAACUCGACUCCGUGAAGCUGGAUUCGCUAGUAAUCGCGCAUCAGCCAUGGCGCGGUGAAUACGUUCCCGGGCCUUGUACACACCG
This 1380-nucleotide ribosomal RNA is filed under the name uncultured bacterium. RNAcentral's name for it is "bacterial SSU rRNA". It matches the Rfam family "Bacterial small subunit ribosomal RNA", at positions 18 to 1392 of the family's 1533-position model. The record is from RNAcentral.